CCAGACAUUGGUGUGGAUCACUGAAAUCUGGUUGGCUGAUGAUGCAGAGGUCCAGUUUGGCAUGGCUGGUUCCAGAUAUUGUUCAGAUCAGUCAAAGCACAGGAUUUCCUGGAAGAAUAAUUCCUUGAGUUUAUUUAAGAAUUUGUGCAGGUUACAUAUUUAUGUCACGAUAACCAAAGUGUCCUGAUGAAGAGCUCUGUGUAAGCACGAAAGCUUGUCCCUCUCAUCAACAGAAGUUGGUCAAAUAAAAGUUAUUACUUCACCCACAUUGUCUCUAUGAUAACCUAACAACAGUAAUAAAUGCCCUUGUGAACAUUGGGCUUGAUUAUUUUAAUUCCUUCUUUGUAGGGCUGUCACUUGGGCUUCUCCAUCUUUUUUGCUUAUUCCCAAUUCAGUAGCACUGUUAACUACAGUGUUCUUAUGAUACUGCUAUGUGGGUUUUUUUUAAUUUGUCUGCCUCUCAUGGACUAGGCCUGACUGCAUUAUAGGCCUGGUGCUUGAACCUUGUACUGACGUGUAACCGCAGUUGCACCCCACUUGCCAUUUAAAGAUCACACCAUCAUAUUUGAAGUUUACAGGCGACUGCACUUUUGUUGCAAUAGUCUUGGGUGUGAAACUUGCUCCCCUGCGAAAUAUUUCUCAUUUCAUCCCUUCCUGCUUCUAAAUUUUAAUUGUUACAGUGCUUUUAAUAAAAACAACGAGGAGUCCUUAGAGACUAAUGUAUUUUUAGAAUGACCACUCUUGGCCUUCUAUUUAUUACCUUC
This is a long non-coding RNA of Mauremys reevesii (Reeves's turtle), 764 nucleotides long. RefSeq lists it as uncharacterized. The transcript is spliced from 3 exons. The record is from RefSeq and is a predicted model, not a curated record. NCBI's taxonomy places the organism in Eukaryota, Metazoa, Chordata, Testudines, Geoemydidae.